Molecule: long non-coding RNA, 2901 nt
Organism: Equus quagga
Lineage: Eukaryota; Metazoa; Chordata; Mammalia; Perissodactyla; Equidae
Exons: 3
Source: RefSeq, a predicted model, not a curated record
AGCAGAGCUUCUAAAGAAGCCAGCCUCGUACUGCAGAGGGUAGGCACAGUGUUCUCGAGGCUUUGGGGCAGCGGUGGCAGAGACCUUGUCAUCCCAUGGUGGCAUGUUAUGCUGGGGUCACUUGUGUGGCAGGGCAGUCUUUGGAGCAGUUUCCAGGUGUGAUGUGGGAGUUUUCGUGCUUUAUAUUAAACCUCCAAACGUAACAAGCCUGUUGGAGAUUCUGUUUAUCUUGUGUCUUUUCUUUUUUUUGAUAAAUUCUUCUGCUUAAACAAGCCAGAAUGAGUUCUCUCAUUUGCAAGUAAGAGCGACUGGCCGGAAACAAGUUGGUAUCGGGAAUUGCAAAUGACAAAUGCUAAAAGAUGCAGGAGGUAGGACACGGUUGGAGAAGACCCACUGUCCUGGGUGAGUUGAAAAAUUGGUGAGCCUAGUUAUUUGGUGGCAAAACAUUUUGCCAGACUGACUGACUGUACUUUAGGGUAGAGACCAGACUGGUGUUAAGGGAGAUAAUAGGGAGCUGCAGAGUGUUGGCAUGUGCUGGUCUCUUCCUAGGCAACUGUGGGGUUGGUGCCAGACUGCGUGGGUUCAAACCCCACUUCUGCUUACUCACCGUGUGACCAGCUUCCUCAGCUGAAAAUGGAAAUGAUAAUCAUACCUACUUAGGACUGUGAGGAGGAUUAAGUGAAUCAUACCUGGAAAGCAGUGUCACAGAAGUGUUGAAUGAAUGCAAGCUGCGAAGUCCUGCAGAAGAGCAAUACAGCCAGACUAAAGGAAACUGGGUGGAAACCAGAGUGGAGAAGAAAAUAGAGCCUCGCUAGGAGAAGCUUUCUCUGCUUGCAACCUGCAGUCUGAGUUGAUGGAAAGUUCCAAGAGUCCUGGUUUGGGCAAACCUAGCAAAAUGGAAACUCCACCAAGUGGCCUGCAGCAGCCUCAGCAGGAGUUUACACUGAAGACUGGCCUUGCCAAAAGGGCAUUAAAUGUGGGGUUUUCCCACUUCAAGUGAUGGCUGUGAAUUGCCCCGAGACAGUAGCAGGUAAACUAAGGGAGAAGGUACUGGACAGAGUCCCGGAUACCAGCUGCUCCCAGAUCAAAUGCUCAGUGUAAAGAGCAUGUAGGCGAGAUCUCUGUUUGCUCGAGCCUGGGGUGUAUGGAGAGUCCUUAUCCCUCGCUGCCUUUGUAGGGCAAGGCCUGUGUUCAGGGCAGAUAACCUGGCUUUCCAGCUGGAGGAGGGCACCACGUAGAGCCACAUUUAGACCUGAUGGAGAAAACUGCAUUUCACCUGGAGAUUUCAGACUGCAAUCAGUAACUGGAAGAGACGGAGGCAUCCUUCUUUGGUCGGGGCAUGGUGCAAGAUGGGUGACACAAAGAGGGAGAAGACAUUGGGAGUCCAAGCCAUGCAGAAAUCGGAAUCCAUAUUCAGCAGCAAAGAAGGAGAAGCAGAAGCACAGGAAGGAGGAAGUGGCCAGAGCAGAGGCCUCAGCAGGCAGAACAACAGCCGGAGCUGGACUUCAUCACGUGUCCCCAGCCCCGUCCCCACUGGCCGGGCUCGUCCACUGUUUAGUUGGCCUCUAAAGUGUCCUGAUUCCAGGUGAAGUGAAACCCCAAACAAAGAAACACCCUUUAUCUCCAGAAGGGAUCAUGUGACUCAUUUGAACUCUCUAUGGCUCCUCGUUUUCCUCUUCAGCAUCAUAUUCUAGGACCAUAAUGGGGUGGAAAGCUACCACUUGGCCAGAGAAGUGUGGCCUGAUUUCUGGGAAAGAGGCAGCCCAGCUCCGCAGCCGUAAAUGGGUUAUUAAGACUAAAUACACUGAGACCGGAUAGCCCUCGCUUCCCAGCUGAGCUAACUCUCUGAGGACAGUGCUGUCCCGGGUGCAGGACAAUGAAGGGAGGAGAGAGCACAGCUUCCUGGAGGAAGGCCGGGAUGCGGCGAGAACAGCGGCAUCGGUCAGGCCUGGAUUUAGGGCUCUCUCUGCCCUGGUCUUGCCCGGCAACCCGGACAGGCCACUUCCCCUAGCUGAGGUCAGCUCUGUCAUCAGAGAAAUGGGUGAAUGCCUGCUUCUCCCUGACUCAAAAAUUUGUCAGGCUGCUCUGAUAAAAAUACACGAAAGUUCUUUGUAGCAUAAAAAAAGCCCAAAAAAGAACCCUGGUUAUAUUUUGACAUGGGGAUGGGCCUCUGAGGAGCAGUCUGGUUACACUCUAGAGUCCUUUAGGGCUGUGAUGUUUUCAAUGGCUCCAUCCUCAAGGCACCCCAUCCUUGGGCUCAGCGGGUGUCAAAGGUGGGUUUAAACUCUGUGAACAGCUCACUAAGGCCUCCCACUGACCAGAACCUCCCCUCAGCGACUCUUUCCUUCUGAACAAAGGGGUGAUCAUCCCACCCGGCAGGGAGCAGGUCACCCUGGAGCACACAUGCCCAGCUGCCUCGCUGUCGCUGCUCCGUGCUCACGGAAGAUGCAAGGACAGCUGGACAGUAAACACAAUGGUACUCUCCUUCCAUCUGGGACAUUAAUCAAGGAUUUGAAAAGCAUCUGUCCCCUAGAGGCUGAAUCCUGAUUUCUGAAGCUUCAACUGAGAGGAGGAGAGAGGAUAAUUAACCACAUUCCAACGGUCAGGGCUGGACACAGAAGAGUUCAAACAGGAGAAUUAUUAGGAGGAAAAGGCGGCCCUUUCUGAGAAUCAUCCUUUAUCUGAGCCAGGUCAGCCUGACUUUGGGGGUAUUGAGGAGCCCACAUCCUCUUUGCAGGUUGCCCAUUCCCCCAUCCAUAAGCCUGUGGCCAAUUCUUGGCCAUUUAUUUGGUUUAAGAAAUUACUCUCGGGGCCAGCCCGAUGGUGCAGUGGUUAAGUGCACACGUUCCACUUCGGUGGCCCGGGGUUUGCCGGUUCGGAUCCCGGGUGCGGACAUGGCAC